GGCUUGGUAGCUCAGUGGUUAGAGCACCUGGUAUAUGUCCAAGAAGGUCUUGGGUUCAAUCCCCAGUCAGGCCA
This 74-nucleotide transfer RNA is filed under the name Amanita jacksonii TRTC168611. RNAcentral's name for it is "tRNA-Ile (TAT) (tRNA-Ile-TAT-5-1)". It matches the Rfam family "tRNA". Rfam says of the family: Transfer RNA (tRNA) molecules are approximately 80 nucleotides in length. Their secondary structure includes four short double-helical elements and three loops (D, anti-codon, and T loops). The record is from RNAcentral. Lineage: Eukaryota; Fungi; Basidiomycota; Agaricomycetes; Agaricales; Amanitaceae.